This 406-nucleotide ribosomal RNA is filed under the name uncultured bacterium. Its description in RNAcentral is "partial 16S ribosomal RNA". It matches the Rfam family "Bacterial small subunit ribosomal RNA", at positions 30 to 526 of the family's 1533-position model. The record is from RNAcentral.
AUUGAACGCUGGCGGCAGGCCUCACACAUGCAAGUCGAACGAGUGGCGGACGGGUGAGUUAUGUCUGGGAAACUGCCUGAUGGAGGGGGCUAAAUACUGGAAACGGUAGCUAAUACCGCAUACCAUCAGAUGUGCCCUGAUGGGAUUAGCUUGUUGGUGGGGUAACGGCUCCCCAAGGCGACGAUCCCUAGCUGGUCUGAGAGGAUGACCAGCCACACUGGAACUGAGACACGGUACAGACGCCUAAGGGAGGCAGCAGUGGGGAAUAUUGCACAAGUGGCGCAAGCCUGAUGCAGUUGUGCCGCGUGUAUGAAGAAGGCCUUCGGAUUGUAAAGUACUUUCAGCAGGGAGGCGUUAUCCGCAGAAGAAGCACCGGCUAACUCCGUGCCAGCAGCCGCGGUAAUAC